Long non-coding RNA from Triticum aestivum (bread wheat), 2252 nucleotides. RefSeq lists it as uncharacterized. The record is from RefSeq and is a predicted model, not a curated record. NCBI's taxonomy places the organism in Eukaryota, Viridiplantae, Streptophyta, Magnoliopsida, Poales, Poaceae. The transcript is spliced from 5 exons.
GCUUCCCAGCGUCUCCCAAAUCCCGUCUACGCCCUACCUCGCCGACGGCCAGUGCCUGCCAGAACCCUCGAUCGUCUCCUUCCGUGCGUCCGAGGUGGUGGUGCACACAGGAGAGACGGCACACGGAAGGUGCUCAUGGAGGUCACGACCGAAGUAAGAUAGGGCCGCACUUGGCCGGCAACAGACUAUGCGCGCGGCGGGAGGUGGCCAAUUUUCACUGCUGGCUAACCUAUCCGGCUCGCCCCAUGGAGGUGGACAGCCAUUGGGAGGUCACAGCCGUUGCGAGAGGUUGGGUGGAGGCACAGCGGGGCUUCAACGUUCUUGCCUCCGGACGCCCCGGACGAUCAUCCGUGGCUUUUAUGGUUCCGCUGCCUGGAGGCGUUCGUCACCGAGCGAGGUUGGCCUUGCUCCCAUUGCUGCUGUCCAUGGCGGCCGAGAUGGACAUGGCAAACUGCGUAUAUGUCGCAUCCUUGCCGCGGUGAGAUGAGCCGAGGCGAGGUGUAGUCUGAUAUGUAGCUGUAAAGGUUUGUCCUGCUCCAGUUUUUGCUGUGAAAAUACAGAGAAGAAUACAGGGCUGGGCUGCUGGGCCCCCGUCAGAUUGCGGCCCUUGCCAGAUACGGCAUAGUUCAGCAACUCGGUAUGCUUAGAUUAUCCCAUAAUUUACAACCAAAACAUUAACAAAACUGUCAUCUUUUUGCAGGAAAAAGAGAUAGCACAGCUCCUGUUGGCGUGUGGCCCACCCUCUGUCCACCGUUUCUCCUAUGUAGUGCUAAAAUUGCAUGGAGAAGUCUGCACCGUGCGCAAUUUUCUGGACGAUCACCGUUUUGUGAAAAUUCAAAGCGAACAAAACAGGGUUGCACAGCCAAGAUCCGGACAAAUUGUGAUGGGCGUUUAUCUCCUGUUUGCGCGAUGUCAUCAUAUGGAUGUGUUUCUUAAUCUUGAAAUAUUGUGCUUGAGGUGUUAAUGCUGAAGAAUUAAGACUUAACUGUAUUGAGUUUGAUUUGUGGAUAGGCGUCAUUUUACAUUGUACUUUGUGUAGGAACAAUAUGUUGUACAUCUAGAUUGUGAGCCCAAUUGACUUUUGACUACAUUGAAUUGGAGAAGCAUAUUCCCUGUCUCUUCUGUAAAUAGAAGUGCUGAAAAAUUGCUUCCGUGCAUUUGUACAUUUCAAAUUAUUGCCCAUACUUUUAUAUUCCAUUGUAUUUCCUACCAAGAGGGGUGCUGCAGUUUAUAUGAAGUGCCAACUGAGAAGCCUCAUUGUAACUAUACUAUAAAAUUAAAGGACAGUUUUUGAUUAAUGCUUAGUUUUUGUCAAGUACUUCCACUGAUGAUCAUUUUUGAAGUAUAGUUUGGUUGACGAACUGGCCUAUUGUGCAAGUUAUCUCGCGGUAAAUAUUCUCUUCUCUCUUCAUCUCUAACAUUGACUAAUUCAAUGUUUAUGUGUGUGUGCGUGUAUCCAUUGUCCGUUGUAUUUUGAAACAACAUUUUUAAUUAGUGUUCUUAAUUAUGUGCUUCAGUUUAUUACAUACUAUAAAGCAUUAUGAAACAAUAUUACCUAUGUGACUUUGUUUAUAGAUUGUCAAAUCGAGCUUUUAGUUGUAUUAGUCAAGAGAAGUACUUCUAGCAUUAGUGCACAUAGUUUUUUUUUUGUCAACUUUUACUGAUGGCUCUUCUCUUUAUAUAGGUUGUGAGCUGCUAUUGUUACUUCCUGCCUGACAAUUGGUUCAGGAGCUGCUUAUUAUUCAAGUAUAUUGCUCCCCCCUCUUAUAUAUAUGCUUUAUUUUAUUAUUGUUGACAGCAAACUAUUUUGUUACGUACAUGCUUUUUUAACUCUUUUUAAUUUGAAAUAUAUUAUUUGUUAUUAUUCUCAAGUCAGUAUACAAACCACCCUAUGUAGCGAUCUUUCUGUCAUGCUUGCUCGCAGCACAGCAGUCACAGCCUCACAGGUGUUCCAGAAGGUGUUGUUCGUCAGCCUGGUUACUGUUCUUGUAUGAACUUCUUCGCCACAGAGAAGUUUUGGGUCGUACUUACCAAAUAUUACAAAAAAUCUAAAUAGUUAAUUAGUCCAUGUGGCGCGGCGUGCCGCCGCGCACUAUUCGCUAGUUCUUCUUAUGGGUCAAAGUAUCCUAUUGUAUGUAGCUUGUAUGCAACCACGAUGUUAUAGGACGUGGCUGAGUUCAGAUAUUGUAUGCAAUCUUUGCUUCCUGCACUAUAAGUUAGGCAGGAUUAGACUCAUUAAAUUGUUUUUAACA